Molecule: ribosomal RNA, 726 nt
Filed under: uncultured bacterium
Lineage: Bacteria
Description: bacterial SSU rRNA
Rfam family: Bacterial small subunit ribosomal RNA
Source: RNAcentral
AUUAGAUACCCCUGGUAGUCCUAGCCCUAAACGAUCGGGGACUUGGGGUGGCUCANCGUUCGUGAGUCGUCCCGGAGCUAACGCGUUAAGUCCCGCGCCUGGGGAGUACGGUCGCAAGACUGAAACUCAAAGGAAUUGACGGGGGCCCGCACAAGCGGUGGAACAUGUGGUUCAAUUCGACGCUACGCGAGGAACCUUACCUGGGCUCGAAAUGCUAGUGACCAGCUUUAGAAAUAUCGCCUUCCCGCAAGGGACACUAGUAUAGGCGCUGCAUGGCUGUCGUCAGCUCGUGCCGUGAGGUGUUGGGUUAAGUCCCGCACGAGCGCAACCCCUGCACGUAGUUGCCACUCCGCAAGGAGGGAACUCUACGUGGACUGCUCCGGAUAACGGAGAGGAAGGUGGGGAUGACGUCAAGUCCGCAUGGCCUUUAUGUCCAGGGCUACACACGUGUUACAAUGCAGGGUACAAACCGUUGCCAACCCGCGAGGGGGAGCUAAUCGGAUAAAACUCUGCUCAGUUCGGAUUGCAGUCUGCAACUCGACUGCAUGAAGCCGGAAUCGCUAGUAAUGGCGUAUCAGAUCGACGCCGUGAAUACGUUCCCGGGCCUUGUACACACCGCCCGUCACAUCACGAAAGUGGGUUGUACUAGAAGUCGCCAAGCUAACCGCAAGGAGGCAGGCGCCCAAGGUAUGAUUCACGAUUGGGGUGAAGUCGUAACAAGGUACC